Molecule: transfer RNA, 73 nt
Organism: Pseudothermotoga thermarum DSM 5069
Lineage: Bacteria; Thermotogati; Thermotogota; Thermotogae; Thermotogales; Thermotogaceae
Rfam family: tRNA
About the family: Transfer RNA (tRNA) molecules are approximately 80 nucleotides in length. Their secondary structure includes four short double-helical elements and three loops (D, anti-codon, and T loops). Further hydrogen bonds mediate the characteristic L-shaped molecular structure. tRNAs have two regions of fundamental functional importance: the anti-codon, which is responsible for specific mRNA codon recognition, and the 3' end, to which the tRNAs corresponding amino acid is attached (by aminoacyl-tRNA synthetases). tRNAs cope with the degeneracy of the genetic code in two manners: having more than one tRNA (with a specific anti-codon) for a particular amino acid; and 'wobble' base-pairing, i.e. permitting non-standard base-pairing at the 3rd anti-codon position.
Source: Rfam
GACCCGCUAGCUCAGCAGGCAGAGCACCUGACUUUUAAUCAGGGGGUCCUGGGUUCGAGUCCCAGGCGGGUCA